Molecule: ribosomal RNA, 118 nt
Filed under: Pteropus alecto (black flying fox)
Lineage: Eukaryota; Metazoa; Chordata; Mammalia; Chiroptera; Pteropodidae
Source: RNAcentral
AUCUACGGACAUUCCACCCUAACGACCCCGAUCCUGUCUGAUCUCGGAAGCUAAGCAGGGUCGGGCCUGGUUAGUACUUGGAUGGGAGACCACCCAGGAAGACCAGGUGCUGUAGGCG